GUUUUCAUACAAGUCUCAGUAAGAAGCACUCAAUCUUUAUGCUCCCAGCUAUUAAUCAUGGAAGUUCCGAAGGAUCAAAUCGCCACCCUUCUCGAGAAUGGCCUCUACGACUCUGCUCAAAUGCUCGGUUGUUUUCUUGUUUCGUCACCCACUGUUAAUGCUGAAACCAACCUACACCUCAAAGCCGAGAGCCAGGCGCUUCUUGGUGAUUCGUUGUUCCGCGAAAGGGAGUAUCGCAGAGCCAUUCACAACUACAAGCAAGCUCUGCAAUACUACAAGAUGAUCCCCAAACAAAACACUCCCUCAUCCCGGAGUUCACUGUCAUCAAACAGGUCGUCUUCUCCAAAUUCUUACAAUGUAUCAGCAAUCAAUGAAAAUGAGGUGAAGUUCAAAAUCGCAUCAUGCCAUUAUUCCCUGAAUGAAAAUAAGGCAGCUCUUGUGGAGAUGGAAGGAAUUCCAAGCAAAGCCAGAAAUUUGCAGAUGAAUUUGUUAAUGGCAAAGCUUUAUAGAAAUUCUAGACAUAAUCGAGCUGCUGUUGCAAUUUACAAAGAAUGUCUAAGGCAUUGUCCUUUCAUAAUUGAGGCAAUCACAGCUUUAGCAGAACUGGGAUCGACUGCAAAGGAUAUUAUUUCUUUGUUUCCUCAGAAUCCACAUAGAAGUGGGAGAGCUCAAUAUGAUCAUUUUGAAUCAUGUCGUUGGCUUCAGCGCUAUGUUGAGGCUCAGUGUUGCAUGGCUUCAAAUGACUACAAAGGUGGCUUGGAACUAUUUGAGGACCUCUUGCAACGUUUCCCUAAUAAUAUACACUUGCUACUUGAGAUUGCAAAGGUUGAGGCUAUAAUUGGCAAGAAUGAGGAAGCCAUUAUGAAUUUUGAGAAGGCUCGGUCAAUUGAUCCAUAUAUUAUAACAUAUAUGGAUGAGUAUGCAAUGCUUUUGAAGUUGAAGUCUGAUCAUUCAAAGCUGAACAAGUUAGUGCAUGAUUUGUUAAAUAUUGAUCCUGCAAGACCAGAGGUUUUUGUAGCUCUAUCUGUUCUAUGGGAAAGGAAAGAUGAGAGAAGAGCACUUUCUUAUGCCGAGCAGAGUAUUCGAAUCAAUGAAAGGCACAUACCUGGAUAUAUAAUGAAGGGAAAUUUAUUAUUGACAAUGAAACGGCCAGAAGCAGCCGUGGUUGCCUUUAGGGGUGCUCAAGAAUUGAGACCUGACAUUCGCUCAUAUCAAGGUUUGGUCCAUACUUAUCUGGCUCUCUCUAAAAUCAAAGAGGCUUUAUAUGCUUCAAGAGAAGCAAUGAAAGCAAUGCCACAAUCUGCAAAGGCUUUAAAACUAGUUGGUGAUGUACACGCAAGUAAUUCUACUGGCAGAGAAAAGGCAAAAAAGUUCUAUGAGUCAGCAUUGAGGCUGGAACCAGGUUACCUGGGAGCUGCCCUAGCUUUAGCUGAGCUCCAUGUUAUUGAAGGCCGGAAUGGAGAUGCUGUGUCUUUACUUGAGCGAUAUCUGAAAGAUUGGGCUGAUGACUCUCUUCAUGUGAAACUGGCCCAAGUUUUUGCUGCUACUAACAUGCUGCAGGACGCUUUGUUACAUUAUCAGGCUGCAUUAAGGAGUAUGAUACCCACCACCUGGCAUUUGAUAUAUUGAAAGAACCUAACUAGUUGCCUUCUGCCAAUGUAGUUAGCUUUGUGCGCUAGACAUUCUUUUCAAAGCAUGAAAGCAUUAUUUCAUCUCAUUAAACAUGCCAAAAGCGUUGAUACUUUUUUCUUGCAUUAUUUAUUGUCUUUAUUGUAUUUAGGAUGCAUGCUGCUUGUCUGUUAAGAUGACGAAGCCAAAGUGGUGCUUAGUCAAGCUCCCACAUGAAACUGAUUUUAUCAUGAAAAUAAGAUAAAUUGAGGAAUUUCAAGAAUGGAGGGAAAAAUCUCAUGCAGAUAAUUGACUUUACUGAUAGGAAGUAUAUAUGAUGGGAGAUUUUUCUGUUACAUUUCAUGAGCUGGGUUAGAAAAAGGUAGGGUAUUGGGUACAAUAUACUUCAUUGGUUAUUGCUGUUUAUUCUAAUAUUUUAUAAAGCAUAGGAAGCCACGCCCAUUAUAUUCUGAACAGUGCAACUCAUUCCUUAAACUCCAUGCAAGGCAUGGGAGGCCCACAUUUCUUUAUUCUAUAUUCUUUUUGACGUGUUUUUCAAGUGUAAUGGAAUAAAAAGAAUGGUAAACUAUGUUAGUCGGUUUUUUUAUGAAAACAUUGUGGCAAUGGCGCAUCUAGGACUAGAAGGAAUUGGUUUGUCCAAGCUUCAUAUGUUGGGGACCACUUGAUUUCUGAUAACCAUUAACAGUUACGGGUAAAUAAUGGAAUAUGGUUUGUAUUUAGGCUCAUCAGAUCAAGACUAAGUUCUUUCCACGUUAUAGAAAGGUUUCCCUCUUCGCAGGAAUUGUUUCUAUAAUCAUGUGCUCAUGAAUUUAUUCUACUUCUAACUAUUAGCAAGCAUUGCAGGUUAAACCAGCAGAAUGAAGCAGCAAAACGGGGGUUAGAGCGUUUAGAGAAGCAGAUGAAGGGAGUGGACCCAGAUGCACCUGAAGAAGAUGA
Neltuma alba is the source of this 2565-nucleotide RNA transcript. It is a transcript of the gene named anaphase-promoting complex subunit 7, with no coding region annotated. The transcript is spliced from 18 exons. Lineage: Eukaryota; Viridiplantae; Streptophyta; Magnoliopsida; Fabales; Fabaceae. The record is from RefSeq and is a predicted model, not a curated record.